GAUGAAGAACGUAGCGAAAUGCGAUAAGUAAUGUGAAUUGCAGAAUUCAGUGAAUCAUCGAAUCUUUGAACGCACAUUGCGCCCGCCAGUAUUCUGGCGGGCAUGCCUGUUCGAGCGUCAUUUCAACCAUCAAGCCCCCGGCUUGUGUUGGGGACCUUCGGCUGCCGCAGGCCCUGAAUACCAGUGGCGGGCUCGCUAGUCACUCCGAGCGUAGUAAUACAUCUCGCUCAGGGCGUGCUGCGGGUUCCGGCCGUUAAAAAAGCCUUAUUUACCCAAGGUUGACCUCGGAUCAGGUAGGAAGACCCGCUGAACUUAAGCAUAUCAAUAAGCGGAGGA
RNAcentral lists this unclassified non-coding RNA (336 nucleotides) under soil metagenome. Its description in RNAcentral is "partial contains 5.8S ribosomal RNA, internal transcribed spacer 2, and large subunit ribosomal RNA". The stretch from base 1 to 120 matches the Rfam family "5.8S ribosomal RNA", at positions 35 to 154 of the family's 154-position model. The record is from RNAcentral.